Regulatory RNA element from Siansivirga zeaxanthinifaciens CC-SAMT-1, 104 nucleotides. NCBI's taxonomy places the organism in Bacteria, Pseudomonadati, Bacteroidota, Flavobacteriia, Flavobacteriales, Flavobacteriaceae. The record is from Rfam.
AUAAUAGAGGAAAGAUUUGACUGAUUGCAACCUCUUCUGAUUGAUUUUUUUGAACAAAACAAUUCAUAAAUUAAAACAGAAUAAAAAAUGCUAAAGGCAGUGCG